GACGAACGCUGGCGGCACGCUUAACACAUGCAAGUCGAACGGAGAUAUUUUGAGUUUACUUAGGAUAUCUUAGUGGCGGACGGGUGAGUAACACGUGAGCAACCUACCUUAGAGAGAGGGAUAGCUUCUGGAAACGGAUGGUAAUACCUCAUAACAUAGCUGAACCGCAUGAUUUAGCUAUCAAAGAUUUAUCACUCUGAGAUGGGCUCGCGUCUGAUUAGAUAGUUGGUGAGGUAACGGCUCACCAAGUCGACGAUCAGUAGCCGGACUGAGAGGUUGAACGGCCACAUUGGGACUGAGACACGGCCCAGACUCCUACGGGAGGCAGCAGUGGGGAAUAUUGCACAAUGGGGGAAACCCUGAUGCAGCGAUGCCGCGUGGAGGAAGAAGGUUUUCGGAUUGUAAACUCCUGUCUUAAAGGACGAUAAUGACGGUACUUUAGGAGGAAGCUCCGGCUAACUACGUGCCAGCAGCCGCGGUAAUACGUAGGGAGCGAGCGUUGUCCGGAAUUACUGGGUGUAAAGGGAGCGUAGGCGGGAUCGCAAGUCAGAUGUGAAAUGCAUGGGCUUAACCCAUGAGCUGCAUUUGAAACUGCGGUUCUUGAGUGAAGUAGAGGUAAGCGGAAUUCCUGGUGUAGCGGUGAAAUGCGUAGAUAUCAGGAGGAACACCGGUGGCGAAGGCGGCUUACUGGGCUUUUACUGACGCUGAGGCUCGAAAGUGUGGGGAGCAAACA
RNAcentral lists this ribosomal RNA (733 nucleotides) under uncultured bacterium. RNAcentral's name for it is "bacterial SSU rRNA". It matches the Rfam family "Bacterial small subunit ribosomal RNA", at positions 28 to 774 of the family's 1533-position model. The record is from RNAcentral.